This 405-nucleotide ribosomal RNA is filed under the name uncultured bacterium. Its description in RNAcentral is "bacterial SSU rRNA". It matches the Rfam family "Bacterial small subunit ribosomal RNA", at positions 355 to 775 of the family's 1533-position model. The record is from RNAcentral.
UGGGGAAUAUUGGGCAAUGGGGGCAACCCUGACCCAGCGACGCCGCGUGAGGGAAGAAGGCCUUAGGGUCGUAAACCUCUGUUGUGUGGGAAGAAGGAAGUGACGGUACCACACGAGGAAGUCCCGGCUAACUACGUGCCAGCAGCCGCGGUAAUACGUAGGGGACGAGCGUUGUCCGGAAUUACUGGGCGUAAAGGGCGCGUAGGCGGUCAUUUAAGUCAGCUGUGAAAUGGUCCGGCUCAACCGGAUCAUGCGGUUGAAACUGGAUGACUGGAGUGCUGGAGAGGCAAGUGGAAUUCCCAGUGUAGCGGUGAAAUGCGUAGAUAUUGGGAAGAACACCGGCGGCGAAGGCGACUUGCUGGCCAGCGACUGACGCUGAGGCGCGAAGGCCAGGGGAGCAAACGG